CCUUCGGACCAAAAUUGUUGUAUGGCUUGUGUGGGGCGAGGGGCACAACGUGAAUCCGUAAUAGGCCAUGGCGGGUGUGUUUUUAAGCAUCCAAGCCAUACAACAAUUUGGGGUUGGGAGGUGAUGGAUAUAAAUCGAUGUAUGUUUAUUGUCGGAUGAUAUGGUUGCGCGAUUUACACUAAACAUACAUCGAUUUAUAUCCAUCAUGGCGCUUAUCGAUGUAUGGCUUGUGUGGGGCGAGAGCCAGAACGUGGAACCGUAAAAGGAUCUGCAAGGGUUUCCCAAACCACACAAGCCAUACAUCGGUUGUAAGUCGCAAAACAACCACAAUUGUUGUAUUGCUUGGGUGUCUUUUUAAGCGUCCAAGCCAUACAACAAUUGGGGGGGAUUAUUCUAGCGGGUUUCGUUCUCUUCGUAUCGUGC
Molecule: unclassified non-coding RNA, 423 nt
Filed under: Lessingia lemmonii var. ramulosissima
Lineage: Eukaryota; Viridiplantae; Streptophyta; Magnoliopsida; Asterales; Asteraceae
Description: partial external transcribed spacer
Source: RNAcentral